CAUUGACUUCGGAUCAGGCAGGGAUACCCGCUGAACUUAAGCAUAUCAAUAAGCGGAGGAAAAGAAACCAACAGGGAUUGCCCCAGUAACGGCGAGCGAAGCGGCAACAGCUCAAAUUUGAAAUCUGGCGUCUUCCGGGCGUCCGAGUUGUAAUUUGUAGAAGGUGCCUCGGGCGAAGCACCGGUCUAAGUCCCUUGGAACAGGGCGUCGUAGAGGGUGAGAAUCCCGUACGCGACCGGCCGCCGAGCCCGUGCGAGGCCCUUUCGACGAGUCGAGUUGUUUGGGAAUGCAGCUCAAAAUGGGUGGUAAAUUUCAUCUAAAGCUAAAUACCGGCCAGAGACCGAUAGCGCACAAGUAGAGUGAUCGAAAGAUGAAAAGCACUUUGGAAAGAGAGUUAAAAAGCAUGUGAAAUUGUUGAAAGGGAAGCGCUUGCGACCAGACUCGUCCGCGGGUGAUCAGCCUCCCCAAGGGGUGGUGCACUCUCCCGCGGCCGGGCCAGCAUCGGUUUCGGCGGUCGGACAAAGACUCGAGGAACGUAGCUCCCCACGGGGAGUGUUAUAGCCUCGGGUGCAAUGCGGCCCGCCGGGACCGAGGACCGCGCUUCGGCAAGGAUGCUGGCGUAAUGGUCGUCAGCGACCCGUCUUGAAACACGGACCAAGGAGUCGACCAACCGUGCGAGUGUUUGGGUGGAAAACCCGCAACGCGCAAUGAAAGUGAACGGAGGUGAGAGUCCCUUCGGGGGUGCAUCAUCGACCGAUCCUGAUGUCUUCGGAUGGAUUUGAGUAAGAGCAUCGCUGGUCGGACCCGAAAGAUGGUGAACUAUGCGCGGAUAGGGUGAAGCCAGAGGAAACUCUGGUGGAGGCUCGCAGCGGUUCUGACGUGCAAAUCGAUCGUCAAAUCUACGCAUAGGGGCGAAAGACUAAUCGAACCGUUAUUUCCCGUUACUGGGCGGUUCAUCGACGUCCGCAAAAGGGACGUUCGAGCAUCAUACAUUGAUGCGAUGCCAACAAACUGUCGGGGAUUUUCUAAUGGCUUUGGCAACCGCCGCCGAACCCGAAAGGGUGGGUGAGCACCUGGGCUAACGGUCCAGGGUAUGGUAAAAUCGUCAAAGAUGAGGGAUUACUGCCAUAAUCCUGAAAUGAAUUGCCCGCAGCGCAGUCUCUAAGGCGAAAAGCUCGCUAGGAGCCACUGUUCACAGGCCAGAUGUUGGCGGAUCUUCGUCCAAGUAUGGCGAGGUUCCAGGUAUGGUCGGGCCGCCGGUUUAGUCCGGUCGCGGAGUCUGAUUUCCAAUGCUGAGGCUGCAGUAGCCGGGGCGGUUCCCC
RNAcentral lists this ribosomal RNA (1322 nucleotides) under Neopetractis nodispora. RNAcentral describes it as "eukaryotic LSU rRNA". It matches the Rfam family "Eukaryotic large subunit ribosomal RNA", at positions 1 to 1406 of the family's 3401-position model. Lineage: Eukaryota; Fungi; Ascomycota; Lecanoromycetes; Ostropales; Gyalectaceae. The record is from RNAcentral.